AUGGAGGUGCGUAACGUCAAGGACUUCCAGUGGAAGCGCCUGGCGCCGCUGCCCAGCCGCCGGGUCUACUGCUCCCUGCUGGAGAGCGGGGGGCAGGUCUAUGCCAUCGGGGGAUGUGACGACAACGGGAUCCCCAUGGACUGCUUUGAGGUCUACUCCCCCGAGGCCGACCAGUGGACCGCCCUGCCCCCCCUGCCCACAGCCCGGGCCGGGGUGGCCGCCAUCGCCCUGGGGAAGCGGAUCAUGGUGAUCGGGGGUGUGGGCGCCAGUCAGCUGCCCCUGAAGGUCGUGGAGAUGUACAACAUCGAUGAGGGCAAGUGGAAGAAGAGGAGCGUGCUGCGCGAGGCCGCCAUGGGCAUUUCUGUCACGGCCAAAGAUUACCGAGUGUACGCGGCAGGCGGGAUGGGCCUAGACCUCCGUCCGCACAACCACCUCCAACACUAUGACAUGCUCAAGGAUAUGUGGGUGUCACUAGCACCCAUGCCCACCCCGAGAUAUGCUGCCACCUCCUUCCUCCAAGGCUCCAAGAUCUAUGUGCUGGGGGGACGACAGUCCAAGUAUGCAGUCAAUGCCUUUGAGGUCUUUGACAUCGAGACUCGCUCUUGGACCAAGUUCCCCAACAUUCCCUGCAAGCGGGCCUUCUCCAGCUUUGUGACCCUGGAUGACCGCCUCUACAGCCUGGGGGGCCUGAGGCAGGGUCGGCUCUACCGGCAGCCCAAGUUCCUCCGGACCAUGGACGUGUUCGACAUGGAACAGGGGGGCUGGCUGAAGAUGGAACGCUCGUUCUUCCUCAAGAAGCGGCGGGCAGACUUUGUGGCCGGCUCUCUGAGCGGACGGGUCAUAGUCGCUGGAGGACUCGGGAACCAACCCACGGUCCUGGAGACGGCAGAGGCGUUCCACCCAGGGAAGAACAAGUGGGAGGUCCUCCCCACCAUGCCCACACCCCGCUGUGCCUGCUCCAGCGUUGUCAUCAAGAACUGCCUCCUGGCUGUAGGGGGCGUCAACCAGGGUCUGAGCAAUGCGGUGGAAGCACUGUGUGUCUCCGACUGCUAGCUGUCCCUGGGCCCAGCACCUUUGCCCCGGACCAGAUCGCUCCACUCUUGGGCAGUUUGGGUGACUCCCCAGGAUGCUGGGUCCUGUCAGCAGCUAGUGGGGUCAGGCCCUGGGGCUCUGAGGGACCUCCCUCCACCUCCAAACCGUACCAAUCCCAGGAAACCGCAAGAAGACGCGCUGACUCCGCCAGCCUCCAGCUGGAGCCCAGCAGAGCUCUGAAGAGACUCCUCCCUUAGUGCUCAGGCAGAGGAAGGCCCAGGAGUACCUGCUACCUCCCCUUCUGAACAAGAGCAAGGAUCAUGCCAUCUGAAGGUGCCAAAGCCCUCACUUCAUCGGAAGACUGGACACCCGAGGUGACACCUCGAGUUGCUCCCCUAUCCAGAUCCAGCGUCUCCAUCUAUGGGAGAAGGGGACUUGACUGGAGCCACCCUUCCAGAUGGGUCUCUGUUCACCUCAGACUUCCACAUCCAACACCUGUGGGAAGCAGGCUCAGCCCUGGUGACAAACGAACAGCCCACCUUCGUUCUUCUCACCCACAUCGCCCUCAGGCUGGCCCCUCCCCGAUUCCCAUGGCCACCACCUGGGUUCGCACCCUCAUCCUCCUUCCUGCCACAUGACGGCCUCCCCACAAUGCUACCCCCCCAGCCCUGUCCUCCAGCCCCCCCUUUCGCAUCGCUGUUAGGGCUCCUGCGCUGGGGAAAUCUUUCUCAUCUCCGAAUCCAACUGUCCUUGCAGAGCUUAGCAUCCCCAGCAGCUCGCCCUACCCUUCAGGUGAUUCCCAGCCUCAGUCUGGGCCUCUGAGGCCCUUGGCACAGGUCCCGCCUCCCCGCCUCCCCUCCUUGCCUCUGCCCAGGGUUCCUGCCCCUUGUGUACCUGGUGAAUGCAGCCAGCGCCCCCACACAUCACCCCCAGACACUAAACUUUGUAGGUUCUCCUUGGGACCAUGACAGUGCCAUUCGCCCUUGGAGGCUCAGAGCAUCACAGAGGGCUGGGCACGCAGUGUCUAAAUGUGUAACAAAUAACUGAUGGAAUAAAUGUGUAGCAAACAACUGAGUUGAAUGAAGCCAGAAAUCAAGGAGCCAAGAGACAGCAGUAACAUUGAGAGUAACCUUUACAAUGGCCCCUCUUCCUCGGCUUCCGUCUACAGCCUGUGGCUGGCACAAAGCAUCAGAUUCAGGAAAUCAGCAGUAUUUCAAAUCCCCUCGCUUAGGGAUCGGGUCCCGUCUCCCUUUGCAGCAGGCUCUGACGGGAGUUGUAGAUCAGGAUCGGGCUUCUCAUAAGCUGUGGGGGACAAGCCAGCCUAUUAAUCCGGGCUUGUGAUAACAACCCCCAGCACCAGAUUGUGCUGGUGUCAUUCGGGGCCAAGAGAAAUGCUGGCUCCUGCCUUCCCUUACCAAGGGUCAGGAGCUGGUGACCGGCUCAAGAAUGUGCUUUGUUUGGGGUUUACAUUCCAGGAGCAGCUUGGGAGGCCAAGGGCUCAGGUUGCCAGUGGGAGCCAGACACGGGGUAGGGAGGUGGCACCGGGCAGACCUUCCCCCCUCCUCCCUCCCGGGCACACCUCCUAGCCCCGCCCUGCCUGGUCCUCUCCGGACCACCCUCACAAGGGCCGGGGUGGGGUGGGGGCGGCUGUGGACGCAGGGCCAGGAGGAAGAACACACUCAGCCCCUUCAAGGGAGCGGCAUUUAAGUGGAGUAUGGAGUACUAAGCUCUGAGCCACCACCAUAAGUGCCCCGCUGCUGAGGAGCCUUUAACAGUGUACAAAGAGCUUCUGUGUUCAGGGUCUCUUUUGACCAAUUACAAACUGAGAUGUAGGGAAACUGAAUCAUCUGCCCCAG
RNA transcript from Zalophus californianus (California sea lion), 2888 nucleotides. It is a transcript of the gene named kelch domain containing 8A, with no coding region annotated. The transcript is spliced from 7 exons. The record is from RefSeq and is a predicted model, not a curated record. NCBI's taxonomy places the organism in Eukaryota, Metazoa, Chordata, Mammalia, Carnivora, Otariidae.